RNAcentral lists this ribosomal RNA (443 nucleotides) under uncultured Sphingomonas sp. RNAcentral's name for it is "bacterial SSU rRNA". It matches the Rfam family "Bacterial small subunit ribosomal RNA", at positions 37 to 525 of the family's 1533-position model. The record is from RNAcentral. Lineage: Bacteria; Pseudomonadati; Pseudomonadota; Alphaproteobacteria; Sphingomonadales; Sphingomonadaceae.
UGGCGGCAUGCUUAAAACAUGCAAGUCGAACGAUACCUUCGGGUCUAGUGUCGCACGGGUGCGUAACGCGUGGGUAAUCUGCCCUUAUGUACGGAAUAGCUCAGAGAAAUUUGUGCUAAUACCGUAUGAUGUCGAAAGACCAAAGAUUUAUCGCCUAAGGAUGAGCCCGCGUAAGAUUAUCUUGUUGGUGAGGUAAAAGCUCACCAAGGCGACGAUCUUUAGCUGGUCUGAGAGGAUGAUCAGCCACACUGGGACUGAGACACGGCCCAGACUCCUACGGGAGGCAGCAGUGGGGAAUAUUGGACAAUGGGCGAAAGCCUGAUCCAGCAAUGCCGCGUGAGUGAUGAAGGCCUUAGGGUUGUAAAGCUCUUUUACCAGGGAUGAUAAUGACAGUACCUGGAGAAUAAGCUCCGGCUAACUCCGUGCCAGCAGCCGCGGUAAUA